This 468-nucleotide ribosomal RNA is filed under the name uncultured bacterium. Its description in RNAcentral is "partial 16S ribosomal RNA". It matches the Rfam family "Bacterial small subunit ribosomal RNA", at positions 28 to 507 of the family's 1533-position model. The record is from RNAcentral.
GACGAACGCUGGCGGCGUGCUUAACACAUGCAAGUCGAACGGAAAGGCCCUGCUUUUGUGGGUUGCUCGAGUGGCGAACGGGUGAGUAACACGUGAGUAACCUGCCCUUGACUUUGGGAUAACUUCAGGAAACUGGGGCUAAUACCGGAUAGGAGCUCCUGCUGCAUGGUGGGGGUUGGAAAGUUUCGGCGGUUGGGGAUGGACUCGCGGCUUAUCAGCUUGUUGGUGGGGUAGUGGCUUACCAAGGCUUUGACGGGUAGCCGGCCUGAGAGGGCGACCGGCCACAUUGGGACUGAGAUACGGCCCAGACUCCUACGGGAGGCAGCAGUGGGGAAUAUUGCACAAUGGGCGGAAGCCUGAUGCAGCAACGCCGCGUGCGGGAUGACGGCCUUCGGGUUGUAAACCGCUUUCGCCUGUGACGAAGCGUGAGUGACGGUAAUGGGUAAAGAAGCACCGGCUAACUACGUG